UACGUAGGGGGCUAGCGUUGUUCGGAAUCACUGGGCGUAAAGCGCACGUAGGCGGAUGUGCCAGUCAGGGGUGAAAUCCCGGAGCUCAACUUCGGAACUGCCUCUGAUACAGCACGUCUUGAGUCCGGAAGAGGUGGGUGGAAUUCCUAGUGUAGAGGUGAAAUUCGUAGAUAUUAGGAAGAACACCGGUGGCGAAGGCGGCCCACUGGUCCGGUACUGACGCUGAGGUGCGAAAGCGUGGGGAGCAAACAGG
This 253-nucleotide ribosomal RNA is filed under the name uncultured bacterium. RNAcentral describes it as "partial 16S ribosomal RNA". It matches the Rfam family "Bacterial small subunit ribosomal RNA", at positions 524 to 776 of the family's 1533-position model. The record is from RNAcentral.